UCGUCGACGGAGGGCCGUCGUUCAUCGCAGCCCUUUAAUUUACAGCCGCAUCCAUAUAAACAUGUGGACAAGUGAAAUCACAAAUUGAAUCGGUCGUUUAAAAAAGGAAUGUUACUUUCUGACCCUACGAGUAACACGAGUCGUGUUAACGUUUCGCUCUACACGUCCGCGUAAUUAAACAAGCUUACCUAUGUCACAUCUUGUCAUAAAAAGAUUCACGCGAGAUAAAAUUGAUUUCCUGCAAGUACGUAAACGAUUUAGAGGUAGCUGGAUCAAUAAAACCAAGAAAAUGAAAACAGAUUACGGUCUCGUAGAUGAUUAAACGUGGAAAUUGUGCCACAGAGAUAUAAACGCGUGUCCAUUCGAUAUGUGCACAAUGCCGCGUGUGUGGUCUAAUUAAUUAAUAAAUUUUGAGAUCAAAGUAAGUGUGUGACAAUCCUUGGGCAAGCAUGCGAGCUAGAGCAUCCGCUGAUAGUCGUGCAGAUACGUUGCAUAUUAAGGGAGAGCGGGUACACCGGAAGAUGCUCUGCAAUCAUUCUUCGGGCAAUUUAGAGACGGACGACCGGCCUAAAACGAAAGUUCAAGAGAGGAUACGCUAUGUCAAAGUUAAGUCUGGAACAUGGAUUACGUAUACUCACGAAGACGUAGUUAACCCCACGCUAGCACUGAUAUACUAAUUGAAUUAGUUAUUUCGAAGCAGAAAGUUAAGGGCACGUCUGCGCCAAGUUUUCAACAUGAAAUAGCUGGCAGAAUCGACGUGCUAGCACGCCGAGUUCGAAAGUUCUUAUUAACCCGGAAGUUUCGUUCGGUAUCGCGCCUGAGUGUUAUUUAAUUACUAAUUCGAAGAAUAUGUGGCUCCGCGCGCUUUUAUGAGGGACGGAGGGAGAACUUUCCCCCGAUUAAUUUCGACGCCCCGAGGGCCGGCAUUGAUUAUUAAUAACAGAUACCGGAAUGCGCGAUGUGCAGGGGUCGUAAUUUCUGCGGGAUCCACCCGCUGUCCGCCCCUGUGAAAGACUGUCUGUUUUAAUUACCGCAAUCGCCCCCAUCAAUUUUUCCGCGUUUUAUUUAUUUAUUCAUUUAUUUCCAUUUUUUUCUCCUCUUUUUGUCCCGUUUUUUAGUUUUUAUUUUACGAACGCCCGCGCACCCUCGCCUUUCAACAAUUACUCGGUGGAUGCUGUUGUUGUCUCGUGAAAUGCCGCUUAAAACGAGAGGAUGAAUAAUUAUAAUCUCGCAUUAGCCGUAGGCGCGUACUUAUCGAGAUCUAAUUUGUGCACGAUAAUAUUCGCAUCGUCAAAAUUAGGGGAAUUAAUUUAUUUUAUCGCAAGUAAAAUCCCCUACUCGAAGCUUUUCAAUCUCCCACUCUGGAAGAGUGCACUUAUUCUCCUCCUUUUACCGUAAAUGCAUGCACGGCACGAUCAGUGUACAAUUAAAAUACUUGAUGUAUACAAAACACUUUCCUCUAGCAAUAAUUAAAAUAAAGUUUUUAACGGUAAGUUCCUUGAUGCAUUACAAGUCGACUUUUUCUUCUAAAUAAAAGAUGUGGAUAGAUGUUUAACGAUCAAAUGCAGCAAACUGCAUUUUUCAAUAUUUGAUAGAAACAAUAUGUUUUUCGGUAGCACGAUUUUAAUGACAAAUAAUUGCGAUUAAGCUCUCACCUAUAUAUCUAUAUAGCAAGAGAACAUCGGCUUACGAGAAAAAGCUUGCUCGCGGAGGAAAAAUCUGGCUUUAGUGUCAGAUGCGGUGAGAACGGAACGCUGCAUCCGCGGGAAAUAGCGUAUUAACGUAAGAUCCGCGUUUAACAAGAUAUUUGUAGCAUUCGGAAAAUACGACGGAUUGUAUGGCGAAUCGCGUGUAGAAGGAGCUAAUGGCAUGCCAGGACUAGUGUUGGGUCAUUCCACUUGCACGGAUUGCAUAUAGGUUUACAGUAGUACCGCGAGAUACCAGCGUGGUCUUGCCAUGCUACGGGAGAUAUAAGCCGCUUUAUGUUCUCCUGUCCCAUCUACAGCUGUAACGUUGUCGCGUGAUGUUAGUGCCGGCGGACAGAUAGGAGGCCAACUCGUGAAUUAAAGCGGAUAUCCCCCUCUCGACGCUUUAUCGAUCUCCCACCGAUCUCGUGAACUGCCGAUGUAAAAACGCACGCAUAAUUAAUCGGCGAGUCUUCCUGAUUAUGUCCACCGUUGCGAUAUCCUUACCCUCCAUUAGCAUUCAUUCAUUUUUCAUGCAACCUGCAGAUGCGACUCAUGCAACACGCAACCAGCGAUGACUCGCACCGAGAAACAUCCGUUCUCUGGACAAGGUGACGAGGGAUUGAAUUGUUACUUGAAGGCAACGUCGUCUUCGUAUGACUGGCGGAUGGGUGUUUUUUUUUACGUUCGCGACAUGAUUCUCUGAUUUUAAAUUGCGACGUCGUAGAACGUUUCGGCUGUCGUAUACGCGGCUCCGUGCGUGACACGGGGCACAACGUGUACGUGCGGCCGGCCUCCAUGAAUUUCCACGGUGGUACACGGCGAGUGCACUCUCGCAUGCUUGAAGUUUCGAUGUGUUUUCGUCGACGUGAUGCUCGAACGAUCGCGUGCUGAUUGGGCGGCAUUUGCCGGGCUACUGUCGGACCGCUCCCACUUGUGAGAUCAAGAGUACGGAAUACACUGAUUGCAGGCUUGUAGCUCGGCGCGUUGGAGUUCUCUCCCGGCCCGUGCUUGUGUCGUCUGUUCGUGAAAGUUAUCAUCGCUCGAAUGAAGUUUGCACUUUUCCGCGCACGUAAAAAGAUCAUCACGAUUCUGAGAGUAAGAAAAGAAAAAAAGAUUAAAUAAAAAGGAAGCUUGGGGAUGAUCGUUGCGUCACCGAUAAGGUGCACGGCAGAACGUAAUUAAGCGGAGGAGCUGAGCAAUGAUAACGAUCUGGUAUUAUAACUUAUAUCAAAGAUAUAUAUUGCUUUUAUAGUUCUCUAUUAUUUUCGGAUAAAAGGACAGUUGUGUCGAAUCUGUGUAUUUUCAUGAUUAAUUCCUAUGUAAUUCCUAUGUAAUGGCAUGAUUGUUACAUGAUAUAUCUGAAACGUUCAAGUUUUCAAAUAAACCUUAUUGGAUUUCUAAAA
Ooceraea biroi (clonal raider ant) is the source of this 3091-nucleotide long non-coding RNA. RefSeq lists it as uncharacterized. NCBI's taxonomy places the organism in Eukaryota, Metazoa, Arthropoda, Insecta, Hymenoptera, Formicidae. The record is from RefSeq and is a predicted model, not a curated record.